ACAGUGGUGGCUCAGUGGUAGAAUUUUUGCCUCCCAUGUGGGAGACCUGGGUUCAAUUCCCAGCCAGUGCA
Molecule: transfer RNA, 71 nt
Filed under: Loxodonta africana (African savanna elephant)
Lineage: Eukaryota; Metazoa; Chordata; Mammalia; Proboscidea; Elephantidae
Rfam family: tRNA
About the family: Transfer RNA (tRNA) molecules are approximately 80 nucleotides in length.
Source: Rfam by way of RNAcentral